AUUGAACGCUGGCGGCAUGCUUUACACAUGCAAGUCGAACGGUAACAGGGUGCUUGCACCGCUGACGAGUGGCGAACGGGUGAGUAAUGCGUCGGAACGUGCCGAGUAGUGGGGGAUAACGCAGCGAAAGUUGUGCUAAUACCGCAUACGUACUGAGGUAGAAAGUGGGGGACCUUCGGGCCUCACGCUAUUCGAGCGGCCGCCGUCUGAUUAGCUAGUAGGUGAGGUAAAGGCUCACCUAGGCGACGAUCAGUAGCGGGUCUGAGAGGAUGAUCCGCCACACUGGGACUGAGACACGGCCCAGACUCCUACGGGAGGCAGCAGUGGGGAAUUGUGGACAAUGGGCGAAAGCCUGAUCCAGCCAUGCCGCGUGUCUGAAGAAGGCCUUCGGGUUGUAAAGGACUUUUGUCGGGGAGGAAAUCCCCAGCGUUAAUACCGCUGGGGGAUGACAGUACCUGAAGAAUAAGCACCGGCUAACUACGUGCCAGCAGCCGCGGUAA
This 500-nucleotide ribosomal RNA is filed under the name uncultured bacterium. Its description in RNAcentral is "partial 16S ribosomal RNA". It matches the Rfam family "Bacterial small subunit ribosomal RNA", at positions 30 to 523 of the family's 1533-position model. The record is from RNAcentral.